GGAGGGUAUAGCUCAGUGGUAGAGCGUGUGCUUAGCAUGCACAAGGUCCUGGGUUCAAUCCCCAGUAUCUCUG
RNAcentral lists this transfer RNA (73 nucleotides) under Vicugna pacos (alpaca). RNAcentral describes it as "tRNA-Ala (AGC) (tRNA-Ala-AGC-816-1)". It matches the Rfam family "tRNA". From Rfam's summary of the family: Transfer RNA (tRNA) molecules are approximately 80 nucleotides in length. Their secondary structure includes four short double-helical elements and three loops (D, anti-codon, and T loops). Further hydrogen bonds mediate the characteristic L-shaped molecular structure. tRNAs have two regions of fundamental functional importance: the anti-codon, which is responsible for specific mRNA codon recognition, and the 3' end, to which the tRNAs corresponding amino acid is attached (by aminoacyl-tRNA synthetases). tRNAs cope with the degeneracy of the genetic code in two manners: having more than one tRNA (with a specific anti-codon) for a particular amino acid; and 'wobble' base-pairing, i.e. permitting non-standard base-pairing at the 3rd anti-codon position. Lineage: Eukaryota; Metazoa; Chordata; Mammalia; Artiodactyla; Camelidae. The record is from RNAcentral.